RNAcentral lists this ribosomal RNA (468 nucleotides) under uncultured bacterium. RNAcentral's name for it is "partial 16S ribosomal RNA". It matches the Rfam family "Bacterial small subunit ribosomal RNA", at positions 28 to 507 of the family's 1533-position model. The record is from RNAcentral.
GACGAACGCUGGCGGCGUGCUUAACACAUGCAAGUCGAACGGAAAGGCCCUGCUUUUGUGGGGUGCUCGAGUGGCGAACGGGUGAGUAACACGUGAGUAACCUGCCCUUGACUUUGGGAUAACUUCAGGAAACUGGGGCUAAUACCGGAUAGGAGCUCCUGCUGCAUGGUGGGGGUUGGAAAGUUUCGGCGGUGGGGGAUGGACUCGCGGCUUAUCAGCUUGUUGGUGGGGUAGUGGCUUACCAAGGCGUUGACGGGUAGCCGGCCUGAGAGGGUGACCGGCCACAUUGGGACUGAGAUACGGCCCAGACUCCUACGGGAGGCAGCAGUGGGGAAUAUUGCACAAUGGGCGGAAGCCUGAUGCAGCAACGCCGCGUGCGGGAUGACGGCCUUCGGGUUGUAAACCGCUUUCGCCUGUGACGAAGCGUGAGUGACGGUAAUGGGUAAAGAAGCACCGGCUAACUACGUG